This 415-nucleotide ribosomal RNA is filed under the name uncultured bacterium. Its description in RNAcentral is "bacterial SSU rRNA". It matches the Rfam family "Bacterial small subunit ribosomal RNA", at positions 355 to 787 of the family's 1533-position model. The record is from RNAcentral.
UCGGGAAUAUUGCGCAAUGGAGGAAACUCUGACGCAGUGACGCCGCGUAUAGGAAGAAGGUUUUCGGAUUGUAAACUAUUGUCGUUAGGGAAGAAAAAGACAGUACCUAAGGAGGAAGCUCCGGCUAACUACGUGCCAGCAGCCGCGGUAAUACGUAGGGAGCGAGCGUUAUCCGGAUUUAUUGGGUGUAAAGGGUGCGUAGACGGGUUAGCAAGUUAGUUGUGAAAUCCCUCGGCUUAACUGAGGAACUGCAACUAAAACUGCCAAUCUUGAGUGCAGGAGAGGUAAGUGGAAUUCCUAGUGUAGCGGUGAAAUGCGUAGAUAUUAGGAGGAACACCAGUGGCGAAGGCGACUUACUGGACUGUAACUGACGUUGAGGCACGAAAGUGUGGGGAGCAAACAGGAUUAGAUACCC